Molecule: ribosomal RNA, 468 nt
Filed under: uncultured bacterium
Lineage: Bacteria
Description: partial 16S ribosomal RNA
Rfam family: Bacterial small subunit ribosomal RNA
Source: RNAcentral
GACGAACGCUGGCGGCGUGCUUAACACAUGCGAGUCGAACGGAACGGCACUGAUUUUGUGGGGUGCUCGAGUGGCGAACGGGUGAGUAACAGGUGAGUAUCCUGCUCUUGACUUUGGGAUAACUUCAGGAAACUGGGGCUACUCCCGGAUCGGAGAGCAUGUUGCAUGGUAGGGGGUGGAAAGUUUCGGCGGUGGGGGAUGGAUUCGCGGCUUAUCAGCUAGUUGGUGGGGGAGUGGCUUACCCAGGAUUUGACGGGUAGCCGGCCUGAGAGGGGGACCGGCCACAGUGGUACUGAGAGACGGCCCAGAGUCCUACGGGAGGCAGCAGUGGGGAAUAUUGCACAAUGGGCGCAAGCCUGAGGCGGCGACGCCGCGUGCGUGAAGACGGCCUGCGGGGUGUAAAACGCUUUCGCCUGUGACGAAGCUGGAGUGACGGUAAUGGGUAAAGAAGCACCGGCUAACUACGUG